This 497-nucleotide ribosomal RNA is filed under the name uncultured bacterium. Its description in RNAcentral is "partial 16S ribosomal RNA". It matches the Rfam family "Bacterial small subunit ribosomal RNA", at positions 28 to 507 of the family's 1533-position model. The record is from RNAcentral.
GAUGAACGCUGGCGGCGUGCCUAAUACAUGCAAGUCGAGCGAACAGACGAGGAGCUUGCUCCUCUGACGUUAGCGGCGGACGGGUGAGUCACACGUGGAUAACCUACCUAUAAGACUGGGAUAACUUCGGGAAACCGGAGCUAAUCCCGGAUAAUAUAUUGAACCGUAUGGUUCAAUAGUGAAAGACGGUUUUGCUGUCACUUAUAGAUGGAUCCGCGCCGCAUUAGCUAGUUGGUAAGGUAACGGCUUACCAAGGCAACGAUGCGUAGCCGACCUGAGAGGGUGAUCGGCCACACUGGAACUUGGACACGGUCCAGACUCCUACGGGAGGCAGCAGUAGGGAAUCUUCCGCAAUAGGCGAAAGCCUGACGGAGCAACGCCGCGUGAGUGAUGAAGGUCUUCGGAUCGUAAAACUCUGUUAUUAGGGAAGAACAAAUGUGUAAGUAACUAUGCACGUCUUGACGGUACCUAAUCAGAAAGCCACGGCUAACUACGUG